UGACCUCGAAUCAGGUAGGGAUA
Molecule: ribosomal RNA, 23 nt
Filed under: Golovinomyces circumfusus
Lineage: Eukaryota; Fungi; Ascomycota; Leotiomycetes; Helotiales; Erysiphaceae
Description: partial 28S large subunit ribosomal RNA
Source: RNAcentral